RNAcentral lists this long non-coding RNA (434 nucleotides) under Marmota monax (woodchuck). The record is from RNAcentral. Lineage: Eukaryota; Metazoa; Chordata; Mammalia; Rodentia; Sciuridae.
UUUCAGAGAUGGACAAAAAAACCUCUAUUUUGUGUUGUGGAUUUUUUUGUACAUAAACAGAAAACUCCCAAAUACUCCAAAGAUGACUUUCCUGCCCCUACUUCCCAGUAUGACUGAGUAGGAGAGAGGCCUUAAGUCAAGAUCCCCAGGGUUUGAGAACAGGGAGGGCCCAGCCGCCUGCCUGGGUCUCUCUCUAUUUAUAUAUUUAAGUUCACAGCGUGUCUGAACACUGACCAGCCUGGGGCCUGUGCCUCUCGAGGCCCACCUGUGCCUCUCGAGGCCCGUGGCCCUGGGCUUCACCCUGGCUCAUUUUGCACCUUUCCUGGCAGGUGGGAGGACCCUUGUGCCCUCCUUCCCAAUCUCUUUUCUCUGGCUCCUCAAGGGCCUGGAACCUAUGUUGUAAUUUUACUUUUUACUUUCAAAGUUGUAGCAAA